Molecule: small RNA, 682 nt
Filed under: Pan troglodytes (chimpanzee)
Lineage: Eukaryota; Metazoa; Chordata; Mammalia; Primates; Hominidae
Description: processed transcript
Source: RNAcentral
GAACCCUCCCAGAUGUUCAGGACUUUCGAUACCUUGUAUGCUGAUGGUAGCAUAUGUUUAGAUAUCCUUCAGAAUCGAUGGAGUCCAACAUAUGAUGUAUCUUCUAUCUUAACAUCAAUUCAGUCUCUGCUGGAUGAACCGAAUCCUAACAGUCCAGCCAAUAGCCAGGCAGCACAGCUUUAUCAGGAAAACAAACGAGAAUAUGAGAAAAGAGUUUCGGCCAUUGUUGAACAAAGCUGGAAUGAUUCAUAAUAGACAACUGGUCUGUUAAUCUUUUUCAUCAUUGUUGUGUAUAAUUUACCUCUCAGUAGAAAGGCUAACAAAUUUUAAGUGCCACAGGUUUUAAGGAUUCUGCAGAAAAAAAAGAAAAAAGUCCUUCAGUUUAGAACCUACAAAAGCUUGUGUAUCUUGAUUAAUGUACUUUUUAUUGCAUGGUGUGAACUAAGUUAUUGCUGCAUAAAUUUGUAAUAUAUCCUGUUUGUAUUUUUUUCCAAGUGUAUAAUGUUGGUGUGGAGUUUUCAUGACAGAAUAUACACAUUUUGUAAAUCUGUACUUUUUUCAAAUAUUGAAUGCCUUAUUUUUGAAUUCUUUAGAUUUUUAAAUUGGAGAAAAGCACUUAAAGUUUUUUAUAUAUGAAUAUUACAUGUAAAGCUGUUAAAAUACAUAACUUCAGUGCAAGAGA